AUUACGGAGAGUUUGAUCCUGGCUCAGGAUGAACGUUGGCGGCGUGCUUAACACAUGCAAGUCGAACGAAGAAUUUGUAGCAAUACGAGUUCUUAGUGGCGAAUGGGUGAGUAACACGU
RNAcentral lists this ribosomal RNA (119 nucleotides) under Anaerolineales bacterium. RNAcentral's name for it is "partial 16S ribosomal RNA". It matches the Rfam family "Bacterial small subunit ribosomal RNA", at positions 1 to 118 of the family's 1533-position model. Lineage: Bacteria; Bacillati; Chloroflexota; Anaerolineae; Anaerolineales. The record is from RNAcentral.